Molecule: transfer-messenger RNA, 77 nt
Filed under: Nitrospiraceae bacterium
Lineage: Bacteria; Pseudomonadati; Nitrospirota; Nitrospiria; Nitrospirales; Nitrospiraceae
Description: partial transfer-messenger RNA
Rfam family: transfer-messenger RNA
About the family: Bacterial tmRNA, also known as 10Sa RNA or SsrA, is named for its dual tRNA and mRNA-like properties.
Source: RNAcentral
CAAAUCAUCGGCUACACACGUAGGGCUGUUGCGCUGAAUGUUCUCGGACAGGGGUUCAAUUCCCCUCACCUCCACCA